UGGGGAAUAUUGGACAAUGGGCGCAAGCCUGAUCCAGCCAUGCCGCGUGAGUGAUGAAGGCCCUAGGGUUGUAAAGCUCUUUCACCGGUGAAGAUAAUGACGGUAACCGGAGAAGAAGCCCCGGCUAACUUCGUGCCAGCAGCCGCGGUAAUACGAAGGGGGCUAGCGUUGUUCGGAUUUACUGGGCGUAAAGCGCACGUAGGCGGACUAUUAAGUCAGGGGUGAAAUCCCGGGGGUCAACCCCGGAACUGCCUUUGAUACUGGUAGUCUUGAGUUCGGGAGAAGUGAGUGGAAUUCCGAGUGUAGAGGUGAAAUUCGUAGAUAUUCGGAGGAACACCAGUGGCGAUGGCGGCUCACUGGCUCGAUACUGACGCUGAGGUGCGAAAGCGUGGGGAGCAAACAGG
RNAcentral lists this ribosomal RNA (404 nucleotides) under Actinomycetes bacterium. Its description in RNAcentral is "Actinobacteria bacterium partial 16S ribosomal RNA". It matches the Rfam family "Bacterial small subunit ribosomal RNA", at positions 355 to 776 of the family's 1533-position model. The record is from RNAcentral. Lineage: Bacteria; Bacillati; Actinomycetota; Actinomycetes.